This 468-nucleotide ribosomal RNA is filed under the name uncultured bacterium. Its description in RNAcentral is "partial 16S ribosomal RNA". It matches the Rfam family "Bacterial small subunit ribosomal RNA", at positions 28 to 507 of the family's 1533-position model. The record is from RNAcentral.
GACGAACGCUGGCGGCGUGCUUAACACAUGCCAGUCGAACGGAAAGGUCCUGCUUUUGUGGGGUGCUCGAGUGGCGAACGGGUGAGUAACACGUGAGUAACCUGCCCUUGACUUUGGGAUAACUUCAGGAAACUGGGGCUAAUACCGGAUAGGAGCUCCUGCUGCAUGGUGGGGGUUGGAAAGUUUCGGCGGUUGGGGAUGGACUCGCGGCUUAUCAGCUUGUUGGUGGGGUAGUGGCUGACCAAGACUUUGACGGAUAGCCGGACUGAGAGGGUGACCGGCCACAAUGGGAAUGAGAUACGACACAGACUCCAACGGGAGGCAGCAGUGGGGAAUAUUGCACAAUGGGCGGAGGCCUGAUGCAGCAACGCCGCGUGCGGGAUGACGGCCUUAGGGUUGUAAACCGCUUUCGCCUGUGACGAAGCGUGAGUGACGGUAAUGGGUAAGGAAGCACCGGCUAAAUACGUG